This 1230-nucleotide long non-coding RNA is filed under the name Homo sapiens (human). RNAcentral's name for it is "HSALNT0224946". The record is from RNAcentral. Lineage: Eukaryota; Metazoa; Chordata; Mammalia; Primates; Hominidae.
AGGCCUAGAGGCGCCCUUCAAAACGAACAGCCUGGGUGCUGUGGAGGGCACGUUGAUGGCAGCAAAAGGAAGACAGGCUACUGGACAGAAAGGGACGGGUCCCAGUGAAGCCCCACCUUCAAGCCAGGGAUGGCUUCAAUCCUGGAGGCCGCGCUGUCAGUUCCGGUCGGAGUCUGUGGCCUGGAGUGAGCACUAAUGGUUCUUUUUCCAGGCCCGCCCAUGGCCACCCAUGGACCAAUCAGCAUGCACUUCCUCCCUUCUGAACCCAUAAAAACCCCGCUCCCCGGACGCAGCCGGAGUCACGCGAAGUCGGAAGUACCAGCUGCGGGAAGGAGCUGCCCACUGUGCGUCUUCUCAACUUGUUGGGACAACCUUCCUGCGGAAAGGAGAGACAACCUUCCUGCAGAAAGGAGCUACCUGCUUCAGGUCUACUGAGAGCUGUUCUGCCACUCAAUAAAGCUCUUCUCCAUCUUGCUAAGCCUCCAUUUGUCCGCAAUACCUCAUCUCCCUGGACGCAGGACAAGAACUCAGGACCCGCCUGGAGGUACUAAAAGAGCUUUAACACAAACAGGGCUGAAACACGCUCCCUUGCUUGCCACAUUGCGGGUGACGAGAAGGAGAAAAGAGCUGUGUUCCUUUGAGGAUCCCAGACCUAGGGUCUCCCUGAGCCAGGGCUGUGACACUCCCUUUGGGGUUCUAUGGUUCCUGGCAUCUUCAAGCUUCCAGGCGCCACCACCUUCGUUCCCUUCAUCCAAACAGGUGCCCACAGCAGAAUCCACAUGCCGUCCAUCUGGUCCAGCCUCACGCAGAGCCACAACUGUGCUGGCGCCUGGAGCUGCCAGCCCCACUGCAGCAGCCGGACUGACAUUCAGACGUGGAGCAAGUUGGACUGCAUAGGGACCCACCAGUGAGAUGGACGCUGUCUGUAAACGGGGAAAUUUAUGGAAAGAUGUCCUCCUGCAACUGCUGAAAAUGCAACAUGCUGCCCAGGUCCUGCUCAGACCACUGACAACUCAGAAGUUAAUACUCAGAGUGGAAAGGUGAGUAGACAGUAUUUCCUGGCAUCGAGCUCUGUGCACCAGAGACCACGCUGCAAGCAGAUAGGAGCUGACUGACCUUAAGUGACUCUCAAUCUAAUAAAGUCAAGGCCAGAAAUUUUGGUCUAGCAACACUAAAGCCAGUGAUUUGGAAUUUCAGGUAGUGUUGGGCUCGCCUGAUGCAGAGGGGCUG